GUGCCAGCCGCCGCGGUAAUACGUAGGGUGCGAGCGUUGUCCGGAAUUAUUGGGCGUAAAGAGCUCGUAGGCGGUGUGUCACGUCGGCCGUGAAAACCUGCAGCUUAACUGUGGGCGUGCGGUCGAUACGGGCAUCACUGGAGUUCGGCAGGGGAGACUGGAAUUCCUGGUGUAGCGGUGAAAUGCGCAGAUAUCAGGAGGAACACCGGUGGCGAAGGCGGGUCUCUGGGCCGAUACUGACGCUGAGGAGCGAAAGCGUGGGGAGCAAACAGGAUUAGAAACCCUUGUAGUCC
Molecule: ribosomal RNA, 293 nt
Filed under: uncultured bacterium
Lineage: Bacteria
Description: partial 16S ribosomal RNA
Rfam family: Bacterial small subunit ribosomal RNA
Source: RNAcentral